This 495-nucleotide ribosomal RNA is filed under the name uncultured bacterium. Its description in RNAcentral is "partial 16S ribosomal RNA". It matches the Rfam family "Bacterial small subunit ribosomal RNA", at positions 28 to 507 of the family's 1533-position model. The record is from RNAcentral.
GAUGAACGCUGGCGGCGUGCCUAAUACAUGCAAGUAGAACGCUGAAGGAGGAGCUUGCUCUUCUGGAUGAGUUGCGAACGGGUGAGUAACGCGUAGGUAACCUGCCUGGUAGCGGGGGAUAACUAUUGGAAACGAUAGCUAAUACCGCAUGACAACAGUUAUUGCAUGAUAACUGUUUAAAAGUGGCAACUGCUCCACUACCAGAUGGACCUGCGUUGUAUUAGCUAGUUGGUGAGGUAACGGCUCACCAAGGCGACGAUACAUAGCCGACCUGAGAGGGGGGUCGGCCGCCCUGAGACUGAGACAGGGCACAGACGCCCACGGGAGGCAGCCGUAGGGCUACGUCGGCAAUGGGCGGAAGUCUGAGCGAGCAACGCCGAGUGAGUGAAGAAGGUUGUCGGAUCGUAAAGCUCUGUUGUAGGGGAGGAACGAGUGUGAGAGUGGAAAGUUCACUCUGUGACGGUAUCUGAUCAGAAAGGGACGGCUAACUACGUG